Molecule: non-coding RNA, 23 nt
Filed under: Cricetulus griseus (Chinese hamster)
Lineage: Eukaryota; Metazoa; Chordata; Mammalia; Rodentia; Cricetidae
Source: RNAcentral
AAGGUUCGUGACAGGAGCAAAAG